RNAcentral lists this ribosomal RNA (840 nucleotides) under uncultured bacterium. Its description in RNAcentral is "bacterial SSU rRNA". It matches the Rfam family "Bacterial small subunit ribosomal RNA", at positions 533 to 1362 of the family's 1533-position model. The record is from RNAcentral.
CUCAAGCGUUGUUCGGAUUCAUUGGGCGUAAAGGGUGUGUAGGUGGCGCGUUAAGUCGGGUGUGAAAUUUCGGAGCUUAACUCCGAAACUGCAUUCGAUACUGGCGUGCUUGAGGACUGGAGAGGAGACUGGAAUUUACGGUGUAGCAGUGAAAUGCGUAGAUAUCGUAAGGAAGACCAGUGGCGAAGGCGGGUCUCUGGACAGUUCCUGACACUGAGACACGAAGGCCAGGGGAGCAAACGGGAUUAGAUACCCCGGUAGUCCUGGCAGUAAACGGUGCACGUUUGGUGUGGGAGGAUUCGACCCAUUCUGCGCCGGAGCCAACGCGUUAAACGUGCCGCCUGGGGAGUACGGUCGCAAGAUUAAAACUCAAAGAAAUUGACGGGGGCCCGCACAAGCGGUGGAGUAUGUGGCUCAAUUCGAUGCAACGCGAAGAACCUUACCAGGCCUUGACAUGCAUCUCUAAGUUGGUGAAAGCCAGCGAGUGUCGAAAGACACAAUUUGCACAGGUGCUGCAUGGCUGUCGUCAGCUCGUGUCGUGAGAUGUUGGGUUAAGUCCCGCAACGAGCGCAACCCCUGUGAACUGUUGCCACGGAACCGAGAGGUUCCAGCACUCUGUUCAGACUGCCUCGCUUAAACGAGGAGGAAGGUGGGGACGACGUCAAGUCAGUAUGGCCCUUACGGCCUGGGCUGCACACGUACUACAAUGCCCAGUACAGAACGAUCCGAUACCGCGAGGUGGAGGAAAUCACUCAAAACUGGGCCCAGUUCGGAUUGGAGGCUGCAAUUCGCCUCCAUGAAGCCGGAAUCGCUAGUAAUGGCGCAUCAGCUACGGCGCCG